Molecule: long non-coding RNA, 499 nt
Filed under: Prunus dulcis (almond)
Lineage: Eukaryota; Viridiplantae; Streptophyta; Magnoliopsida; Rosales; Rosaceae
Description: sRNA ncRNA
Source: RNAcentral
CUCCCACUAAACGAAUCAUCCUAAUGGCUAUAAUGGCCAAAAUGUUCUUAGUGUAAGUAAGAGGCCAAAUGUUGACCGCAUGGACAAAGAACAUUAAAAAAGAACAUUAAAAUUUCAUAAAGGAAAUAUCUGAAGUGAAAGAUGUAUUUUUGGAGAUGGCAAUUUCCAACGAACUUUUGAUCCAACAUUUGAGUGAAAUCUGCGACUUGCGAUCAAAGAGCAAGUUCUUAGCCAACAAGCCGAUGGGCAAACUCUCAACCCCAACCUUGAUUCUCAGUCGCAAGAGGAAAAUUCUCAUGUGGUUGCAAGUCGGCCACCCAUUCCACCUACUCCUCUAGAGGAAAGUAAGGUUAGUAGGGAAUAUGAGAAUGAGAAAGAGAUGGGCGAGACGACCUUAGGAUCAAAUGUUCAAGUCGACCGUCCUAUUGAGAGCCUAACAUUGGUUGAGGAAAAGGAGUCCACCCAAGGGGAUGAGACCUAAAAGAUGGUCACCGAUGAA